GAUGAACGCUGGCGGCGUGCCUAAUACAUGCAAGUCGAGCGAACGGACGAGAAGCUUGCUUCUCUGAUGUUAGCGGCGGACGGGUGAGUAACACGUGGAUAACCUACCUAUAAGACUGGGAUAACUUCGGGAAACCGGAGCUAAUACCGGAUAAUAUUUUGAACCGCAUGGUUCAAAAGUGAAAGACGGUCUUGCUGUCACUUAUAGAUGGAUCCGCGCUGCAUUAGCUAGUUGGUAAGGUAACGGCUUACCAAGGCAACGAUGCAUAGCCGACCUGAGAGGGUGAUCGGCCACACGGGAACUGAGACACGGUCCAGACUCCGACAGGAGGCAGCAGUAGGGAAUCUUCCGCAAGGGGCGAAAGCCGGACGGAGCAACGCCGCGUGAGUGAUGAAGGUCUUCGGAUCGUAAAACUCUGUUAUUAGGGAAGAACAUAUGUGUAAGUAACUGUGCACAUCUUGACGGUACCUAAUCAGAAAGCCACGGCUAACUACGUG
This 497-nucleotide ribosomal RNA is filed under the name uncultured bacterium. Its description in RNAcentral is "partial 16S ribosomal RNA". It matches the Rfam family "Bacterial small subunit ribosomal RNA", at positions 28 to 507 of the family's 1533-position model. The record is from RNAcentral.